UUAAUUAACACGACUACAACAUAAACUCAUCAUUAAACAAAUAUGACAUACAUUCUAAGUUCUAACACCAGUUUAAUUGUUUUGCAAAUCUCUACCUUCGGUAUACAAAAACUCUCCACGAUUCUUCAAUCAUCAUUCAAUUCCUUGUUUUAAGUUCCCGCCUAAAUUUUUUAAUUGGUGAUUUAGAGAAAGUGUUAAAUGAAGCUAAGAUCUAUAAAAAUAUUUCACCCAUUCGACAGUCGGUUCCCUCGCGAUUACUUCCAAUAAUUGAAAAGUAGUAAUUCGCUGCGAUUACAGUAAUUCAAUUCAGCUGAGUAAAUAGAAAAUGUGGCAAAUUGUUUGGUUGCAAAAAUGCUCUACGAAUAUCAAUAAACUGAAUGUCUCCAAAGGCAAUGAAAUGUAAACAGAUACACGAUGUAGAUAAAAGCAAUACAAGAUGGCUUGCAGUAAAUGGACCGAGUUAAGAAAAUACCGGAGCUGUCUUGCGAGAUACUUAUGCAAAUAGUGUUGUUGUUGUGCAUUGAAAAGUACUUAGAAGAAGGUAAUGUGCGUAGUUACUUUUAUCAGAGUUGCCUUUGUGCGAAAUGUGUGUGUGUGUGUGUGUGGUUGGACGGACGGACGAUAAAGUGAAACUGCUUCGAGUAUUAACUGUGAAAUAGUUGUGCAAAGUGCAAAGUGCUGCAGUAAAUAAUAUUUUAAAGUUCAUGCAAAGUGAAAAAGAAAGCGCUUACGGCGAAGGUGUAUAAAGUGAUAAAAUAUGUGAAAAGUGGUGUGAAUAAAGUAGGUUAAGUAAAAUAAAGAAGAAAUAAAGUGGUUAAAUAAAAAGUGCGUGUGGUGGCAUAGAAGAAGCUUAAUAAAAUUGCAAUAAAAGUGUUAUGUAAAAAGCAAAUUUUAGCAAUAUCAUUUAUUGUAUUAUAUGCAUAAGGUUCCUGAAGUUAAUAAAAAUGUGUAAAGUUUGUGGUUUAUUGCAAAAAAAAUUAGAAUAAUAAAAAAAAAAUCAAAAUUUAUGUAAUAAAAGUGAAGCAAUUUAAAAAAGGAGAUGUGAUAAAAAGUGAAAUAAAAGUGAUGUAUGUAAGCGAAUAAAAGCAACACAACAAUGGAAGCGUAAAUCUCCUGCAAUUCAUAAUUUUCAGCGAAAGAGAAGUGUCAAAAAUGCGAAGAAUUGAG
Bactrocera oleae (olive fruit fly) is the source of this 1167-nucleotide non-coding RNA. The record is from RefSeq and is a predicted model, not a curated record. NCBI's taxonomy places the organism in Eukaryota, Metazoa, Arthropoda, Insecta, Diptera, Tephritidae.